UUGAACGCUGGCGGCAGGCCUAACACAUGCAAGUCGAGCGGAUGAAGGGAGCUUGCUCCUGGAUUCAGCGGCGGACGGGUGAGUAAUGCCUAGGAAUCUGCCUGGUAGUGGGGGAUAACGUCCGGAAACGGGCGCUAAUACCGCAUACGUCCUGAGGGAGAAAGUGGGGGAUCUUCGGACCUCACGCUAUCAGAUGAGCCUAGGUCGGAUUAGCUAGUUGGUGGGGUAAAGGCCUACCAAGGCGACGAUCCGUAACUGGUCUGAGAGGAUGAUCAGUCACACUGGAACUGAGACACGGUCCAGACUCCUACGGGAGGCAGCAGUGGGGAAUAUUGGACAAUGGGCGAAAGCCUGAUCCAGCCAUGCCGCGCGUGUGAAGAAGGUCUUCGGAUUGUAAAGCACUUUAAGUUGGGAGGAAGGGCAGUAAGUUAAUACCUUGCUGUUUUGACGUUACCAACAGAAUAAGCACCGGCUAACUUCGUG
This 483-nucleotide ribosomal RNA is filed under the name uncultured bacterium. Its description in RNAcentral is "partial 16S ribosomal RNA". It matches the Rfam family "Bacterial small subunit ribosomal RNA", at positions 30 to 507 of the family's 1533-position model. The record is from RNAcentral.